Homo sapiens (human) is the source of this 83-nucleotide microRNA precursor. It matches the Rfam family "mir-1299 microRNA precursor family". NCBI's taxonomy places the organism in Eukaryota, Metazoa, Chordata, Mammalia, Primates, Hominidae. The record is from Rfam.
CCUCAUAGCAGUGUUCUGGAAUCCUAUAUGAGGUACAAACAUUCAGACCCUCAUAGCAGUGUUCUGGAAUACUAUGUGAGGGA